GACGAACGCUGGCGGCGUGCCUAAUACAUGCAAGUAGAACGCACAGUUUAUACCGUAGCUUGCUACACCAUAGACUGUGAGUUGCGAACGGGUGAGUAACGCGUAGGUAACCUGCCUGGUAGCGGGGGAUAACUAUUGGAAACGAUAGCUAAUACCGCAUAAUAUUAAUUAUUGCAUGAUAAUUAAUUGAAAGGUGCAAUUGCACCACUACCAGAUGGACCUGCGUUGUAUUAGCUAGUAGGUGAGGUAACGGCUCACCUAGGCGACGAUACAUAGCCGACCUGAGAGGGUGAUCGGUCACACUGGGACUGAGACACGGCCAGACUCCUACGGGAGGCAGCAGUAGGGAAUCUUCGGCAAUGGACGAAAGUCUGACCGAGCAACGCCGCGUGAGUGAAGAAGGUUUUCGGAUCGUAAAGC
Molecule: ribosomal RNA, 420 nt
Filed under: uncultured bacterium
Lineage: Bacteria
Description: bacterial SSU rRNA
Rfam family: Bacterial small subunit ribosomal RNA
Source: RNAcentral